GUGCUUUUAGCUCAGCUGGAUAGNNUAGGUCGGGGGUUCGAGUCCCUCAAGGCACGCCA
This 59-nucleotide transfer RNA is filed under the name Clostridiales bacterium. RNAcentral's name for it is "tRNA-Ser". It matches the Rfam family "tRNA". Rfam says of the family: Transfer RNA (tRNA) molecules are approximately 80 nucleotides in length. Their secondary structure includes four short double-helical elements and three loops (D, anti-codon, and T loops). Lineage: Bacteria; Bacillati; Bacillota; Clostridia; Eubacteriales. The record is from RNAcentral.